Gasterosteus aculeatus aculeatus (three-spined stickleback) is the source of this 3711-nucleotide RNA transcript. It is a transcript of the gene named caldesmon 1a, with no coding region annotated. Lineage: Eukaryota; Metazoa; Chordata; Actinopteri; Perciformes; Gasterosteidae. The record is from RefSeq and is a predicted model, not a curated record.
ACUGGCAUUUGCCUUUUCUGUCAGCUGUGAGCGGACUGCGGGAGGCUAUUGCUACACGUAGGGGCGUUGUGUGUGUGUGUGUGUGUGUGUGUUUUGGACAGAGCAUUGGGGAAGGCUGGUAUGGUGUGAAAGAAAACCCAUUGUCCGAAGGCUAAUUCAAGGGCACAGUCAUGGAGGAAAUGGACUUUGAGCGGCGCCGCGAGCUGAGAAGGCAGAAGCGGGAGGAGAUGCGCCUUGAGGCCGAACGGUUGGCGAGGAAUGACGAUGACGAGGAGGAAGCGGCCCGCGAGAGGAGGCGCAGGGCACGCCAGGACAGGAUGAAGGGCAGGGAGAGUGAGGAGCCCAGCGGACAAUCAGACAGUCUGGUCGUGACCAACAGCCACAGUGUGACAGAGGCCGUGUCAGUGAGCAGCUCUUACACAGGGGGCGGCGGCGGCGAUGACGAGGAGCAGGCCCUGCUGGACCGCAUGGCCAAACGUGAGGAGCGCCGGCUGAGGCGCAUGAAGGAGGCUCUGGAUAGACAAAAGGAGCUGGACCCAACAGCUGCAGAUGUAAACGACAGCAUCGCCGUGGAGAAAAACAACGUAGAGGAGGAGACUGCAUCCUCCUGGCGCCAGGGCCGUUACCGUGACAAUCAGGAUGAAGAGGAGGCGAGCCCUAGGAGAGAGGAGAAGAAGCGGGAGGAGCCGAGGGAGGAAGAGGAUGCCGCUCCUGAGGUUGAAGAGGAAGUCGAUGAGGGCGUGGAUGAAGAGGUGGAGGUGGUGGAGGACAAACCGAGAAUGUCUUACUUAAGAGAACACGAAACAACCGAAGGACCUAAAAUGCAAAGCAAGGAACUUGCUGAAGAAGAAACUCAUUCAGUAGUCAGGGAGAUUUCAAACCAAGCCAAGUCAACCAAUUCAGAGGAUGAGGAGGAUGCAUUAGCAUCAGAGGAGGCUGAGGAGGUACCUGAGGAUGAUCAUGUAGAUUAUUCCAUGACUCUCAUAAAUGCCUCCGAAGAGGACAAUAAGGUGUCUGAGAUGCUACACUCAGAGGAUAAUAAGGUUAAUGAGACCGGCUGGGCCAAAGAGGAGCAGAGGAGGCAGAACGGAGGGCUCCACGAGGAGGAGGCUACACCCAAACAGCACAGGAAACCGGAGAGGAUCCUCAGUCGCAGCAGUGUGCGUUCCCCCGAGGUGUCCGCCGGUGACGACCAGGACGACGCUGCCCGCCUGGAGGCCGAGCUCAAGCUGGAGGAGCUGAAGCGCAGACGCGACGACGCGGAGAACGAGGAGUUCGAGAAGAUGAGGCAGAAGCAGCAAGAGGCCGAAGCCGAGCUGGAGGAGCUGAAGAGGAAGAGGGAGGAAAGGAGGAAGGUGUUGGAGGAGGAGGAGAGGCAGAAAAAGCAGGAGGAGGCGGAGAGAAAAGCCAGGGAGGAGGAGGAGAAGAGGAAGAUGAAGGAGGAGAUUGAAAGAAGGAGAGCGGAGGCAGCUGAGAAGAGGCAGAAGGUGGAGGACACCAUGGACGGGGAGGGAAGACCCUUCAAGUGUGUCAGUCCCAGAGGCUCCUCGUUGAAGAUUGGGGAAAGGGCAGAGUUUCUCAACAAGUCAGCACAGAAGAGCAGCACACUGAAGGCGGCUCAUUCUCCUGUGGUGUCCAAGAUCGACAACAGGCUGGAGCAGUACACCUCCGCUGCUCAGAGAGAGAACAAGGAAUCUCGAUCCCCUCGUUCUGGAGCAGCAGAUCUUCCCGUGGUUACAGACAGCAUCCGUAACAUCAAGACCAUGUGGGAGAGAGGCAACGUGUUCGGCACACCGGGAAGUGGCGGGAUCCCCUUUAAGGAAGCAGCUGUGAUGAAGACAGGCGUGGCGGGUCGCAUUAACGACUGGCUGAAUAAAACCCCGGAGAGCGGCAAAGCAUUGGGAGGAAGGCCAGCGGACCUGAAGCCUGUGGAUGUCACCAACAAGAGGAGUCUAUGGGAAAACAAAGGUGCCUCUCCGACCAAGAACUCUCAUAGCUAGUUGACUUCACCGUUUAAUCUGGAAUAAGCCUGGAGAGAUGGCAGGAGGGGGGGAGACCAAAUCAGUCGCCAACGGUAUGGGACACUAAUGUCUUGAAGGAGCCACGUAAACUGGGGACCACGACAAUCCAAGGCUCUUCCCUUGACUUUGUCUUAAGAACCAAAUAAUGAUUACACUCCCGAGAGGGAACCCAAGAAAACGGGAGGGACAGCAGAGACGCUGUCCUAGCACUGUACUGAAACAGCAUCAUAUUUUGUACGGUUGCCACGUAUAGUGCCUUUGCACCAUGAUUCUUGCUUUCUAAAAGAAACUAAAUGCUGUGAAAUUUGGACAUUUAUAAUUACUUUUACUAAUUACUUUUUACAUUACAAUCCUGCCAGAAAGAAAAAAACAAUUCAAUUUCGAUUUAUCUGUUGUACCAUAUGGCGUUCAAAGUUUCCACAUUCCAAAGAGAUGGAUGAAAUCAGUAGUCUCCCUCAUACAGCACAUGUUCCAUCUCUUUUCUUAUUUAUAUUUAAAGCAAAAGCUUCACACAUUGCUAUUUUAUUCAAUGUUCACCAGUUCAGGAUAGAAAUAUAAGCACUUCUAGAAUUUAGCUGAUUUCACUUUUAUUAUUGUCUUACCAAUAGUGCAGCAAUGGUCUGAGUAAUAUAUGUUAGCAGAUGUGAUGUUUUGAAUAUGACCUAUCAUACUGUAUCUUGUAUAACAUUUUUAUACUCGCUGCAAAAGAUAUUUUUGCUUUUUUGCAUCCAGAAACUCUUCAACAACAGGCAGUUGGUUUUGGUGGAUAUAAGAGUGUUGAAUAGUCAGAAGGCCAUUAUGACUUUUAUUAUUAUUAUCCUUUUGUGUUUUUUAUUUAUGUUUUUUUGUGUUUUGUCCUUUUCUAUUUCUAGCUCUUUGUAGAUUUUGUGCCUGUUUGAUCACUUUAAAAUCUUCAGACAUUCCUCUUAAAAAGCAGCUGGACAAGGUGCCUUCACUGUACGAUUUACAAUGUAGGAAAUCAGCUAACCAACCUGCGUUUUUUUUAGAAUCUACCUUAACUUCUACUAAUUACUAACUUCUUCAUUGCCUGUAUACCAACUCUCAAGCUCUGCUAUCAUUUUCUAAUUGAUGGGACUGAAAGUAAAACCAGGCUGCCGAAGCAUAUAGCAAGAUACUAGUAAAAUACAAGGAUAUUUACCACUAUGUAAGUCUUCUGGCUUUAUCAUUGCAAAAUAAUAACAUUUAUGACAGCUGAGGUACAUGAAAGCCUCAAAGCAACUCAAUAUAAUAGUACGAGUUUUGAUUUUAAUGUUUGUUUCACUGAUGCAGUCUUAAGUAGCGCAUUCCCUUUUGAUAGUUUUUUGUGCGAUACAAGCUUUGAUAAUUGUUGGUUUGCCAGGGCAUUAAAUUGAUCAAUAUUACUGCUCAAAAGUCUGACAAUCACAUUCCAUGGCUCCUGAAAAGAGCAGGGGAGCUUGACCAAAUAUUUCAAAUGUGAUUUGAUGUGACAUUUAUGUUUUUUUUAAUAGUGUUUUUUUAUUUUAUUUGUACGACCUUUUGUCACAAGUUCUUCCAUUUUUAACCAGACACUUGUUAGUGUGUUUUGCAUAGGCUUGGCCUUUCCAAACAGACCCAAUGUCAUACAAGUGGGCACAUCCAACUGGAUGAGUAUUUUGAACAUUGUACGCUUCACUCAACAACAGUAAUAAAGACAUUAAAGUAUUCCACA